Molecule: ribosomal RNA, 494 nt
Filed under: uncultured bacterium
Lineage: Bacteria
Description: partial 16S ribosomal RNA
Rfam family: Bacterial small subunit ribosomal RNA
Source: RNAcentral
UGAACGCUGGCGGCGUGCCUAAUACAUGCAAGUCGAGCGAACAGACGAGGAGCUUGCUCCUCUGACGUUAGCGGCGGACGGGUGAGUAACACGUGGAUAACCUACCUAUAAGACUGGGAUAACUUCGGGAAACCGGAGCUAAUACCGGAUAAUAUAUUGAACCGCAUGGUUCAAUAGUGAAAGACGGUUUUGCUGUCACUUAUAGAUGGAUCCGCGCCGCAUUAGCUAGUUGGUAAGGUAACGGCUUACCAAGGCGACGAUGCGUAGCCGACCUGAGAGGGUGAUCGGCCACACUGGAACUGAGACACGGUCCAGACUCCUACGGGAGGCAGCAGUAGGGAAUCUUCCGCAAUGGGCGAAAGCCUGACGGAGCAACGCCGCGUGAGUGAUGAAGGUCUUCGGAUCGUAAAACUCUGUUAUUAGGGAAGAACAAAUGUGUAAGUAACUAUGCACGUCUUGACGGUACCUAAUCAGAAAGCCACGGCUAACUACGU